GUGGGGAAUCUUCCGCAAUGGACGAAAGUCUGACGGAGCAACGCCGCGUGAGUGAAGAAGGUUUUCGGAUCGUAAAGCUCUUUCGUUAGGGACGAACGUGCUCUUUGUGAAUAAUGAGGAGUAAUGACGGUACCUAAAUAAGAAGCCACGGCUAACUACGUGCCAGCAGCCGCGGUAAUACGUAGGUGGCAAGCGUUGUCCGGAAUUAUUGGGCGUAAAGCGCGCGCAGGCGGGAUAUCAAGUCUGUCUUAAAAGUGCGAGGCUCAACCUCGUGAGGGGACAGAAACUGGGAUUCUUGAGUGUCGGAGAGGAAAGUGGAAUUCCAAGUGUAGCGGUGAAAUGCGUAGAGAUUUGGAAGAACACCAGUGGCGAAGGCGACUUUCUGGACGAUGUCUGACGCUGAGGCGCGAAAGCUAGGGGAGCGAACGGGAUUAGAAACCCUGGUAGUCC
RNAcentral lists this ribosomal RNA (450 nucleotides) under uncultured bacterium. RNAcentral describes it as "partial 16S ribosomal RNA". It matches the Rfam family "Bacterial small subunit ribosomal RNA", at positions 354 to 796 of the family's 1533-position model. The record is from RNAcentral.